Molecule: ribosomal RNA, 375 nt
Filed under: uncultured bacterium
Lineage: Bacteria
Description: bacterial SSU rRNA
Rfam family: Bacterial small subunit ribosomal RNA
Source: RNAcentral
GAUGAACGCUAGCGGCAGGCUUAAUACAUGCAAGUCGAGGGGCAGCGGGGGUAGCAAUACCUGCCGGCGACCGGCAAACGGGUGCGGAACACGUACACAACCUUCCUUUUGGUGGGGGGAUAGCCCAGAGAAAUUUGGAUUAAUACCCCGUAGUAUUGUUUGGUGGCAUCACCGGACAAUUAAAGAUUUAUUGCCAGGAGAUGGGUGUGCGUCUGAUUAGGUAGUUGGUGCAGGUAAAGGCNCACCAAGCCAACGAUCAGUAACUGGUGUGAGAGCACGACCAGUCACGACGGGCACUGAGACACGGGGCCCACUCCGUACGGGAGGCAGCAGUAAGGAAUAUUGGUCAAUGGACGCAAGUCUAGAACCAGCCAU